AUUUAUUUAUUGUCUGUUUCGUUUGUUUGUUGUUUGUGGUUACCUGGACGUCUUCCAUUCCGGGAUGGCCGAGGCCAUGCAGCGAGAGGCUGUCACCCAUGCCCGCGUCCAGGCCGUGGUGCGCGGAAUGCAGAACUGACUCAUGGAGCUCAGACGGAGAACACAAUGCAGAGAGAAGCAGCUGCAGCCUCGUCCAAUUAUGGUGCUAAAUUACCAAGCCAAAGGCGCCCAAAGGAAGACAGAAACAGAGAGUGAGACACACACACAGAGACGGAGAGACAGAGAGACAGUGAGAGGAGGGAGCAUGCAAUUCUGGUACAACGUGAAUCCAAACUCACCAUGGAUGAAUAGGUGUGGACUAACAUCUGGAAAAAAAAGCCUGGUUACUGCUCAAAAUCAAACAAAGAUUAAAAAAAAAAAUCAGGAGUCCAGCAGAGAAACGAGCUGGACACAGGAGCCGAGCUUGAGGUGUUUCCAGGACAAGCCAUCAAAAAAAAAAAAAAAAAUUACCCCCACCCCCACCCCC
Molecule: long non-coding RNA, 526 nt
Organism: Manis pentadactyla (Chinese pangolin)
Lineage: Eukaryota; Metazoa; Chordata; Mammalia; Pholidota; Manidae
Exons: 2
Source: RefSeq, a predicted model, not a curated record